GGACAGCGGACACGCAGUGCCGCCGGGUCCGCGAGUUUGGGUGGAGUGAGCGGCCGCCGGCAGCCCGCGUUGGAGUAGACUGGCUGAGACCGCUGCGCGCUGGCGUGAUGUGGAGACUAGUGAUGAGGAUACCGGCCCUCCUGGCGUUAGCGGCCGUCGUUACAGCGCUCGAAGGGCCGAACGUCUGUACUAAACAGGAAACCUACGCUAAGCAGAUCCGGACGUCAUAUAUGGCGCCAUACCGAGUGCGGACAGUCACCUGGUGCCUCAAGAUCCCGCCGUUCUGCACCAAAUACAAGACGGCCUACACGCUCAAAUACAAAACAGAGGUGAAGGUGAAGACUCGCACAGUGGAGCUGUGCUGUAAGGGCUACACCGAGUCGGCCAACCGCUGCCAGGCCGUGUGCAGUCCAGAAUGUCUGCACGGCCGGUGCACCGAGCCCAACAAGUGCGUCUGUGCCUCCGGCUACGGCGGACCCACCUGCGAGCUGUCCUGUCCGGCGGGCACCUGGGGCCGCGGCUGCGCCAACGAGUGCGCCUGCAUGAACGGCGCCGCGUGCGACCCGCUGACGGGCAGCUGCACGUGCGCGCCCGGCUGGCGCGGCGCCACGUGCCAGACGCCGUGCGCGCCGCACACGUACGGCCAGGGCUGCACGGAGCCGUGUCAGUGCGCCAACGGCGGCCGCUGCGACCCGGUGUCGGGCGCGUGCGACUGCCGCGCCGGCUGGACGGGCCCGCUGUGUCUGGACAAGUGUCCGCCGGGCACACAUGGCGACGAAUGCGCCAACCGGUGCCAGUGCCAGAACGGCGGCACCUGCGACCCCGAGAACGGCAGCUGCAGGUGCCAACCCGGCUGGGAGGGCGACGUGUGCGGUAACCGCUGUCCGCGCGGCACCUGGGGCCAGGACUGCAGUCGCCGCUGCUCCUGCUACAACUCGGCUACCUGCAAUCACGUGACGGGCGUCUGCGAGUGUACCGCCGGCUACAUCGGCACUCAGUGCCAGGACCAGUGUCCGCUGGGCACCUGGGGCGUCGACUGCGUCGGCAACUGCACCUGCGUGAACGGCGCCACCUGCAACAUCGCCGACGGUAGCUGUCGGUGCGAGCUCGGCUGGAAGGGCACCAACUGCGAGCAGCGGGCCUGCGAGCCGGACCACUACGGACAGAACUGCCACGCCGUCUGCACGUGCGAGCCCAGCCAGACAGAGCUAUGUCACCCGUGGACGGGCGACUGUCAGUGCAAGCCCGGCUGGUCGGGCCGGCUGUGCGAGCGGCCGUGCCCGCCCUACCAGUACGGAGAGGACUGCCAGGGCAUCUGCAACUGCAAGAACGGCGCCUUCUGCGACCAGUUCAAUGGGACGUGCAUCUGCAGCGCAGGUUACAUCGGUGAAGACUGCAGCACCCAGUGUCCUCCCGGCAAGUACGGCCGCGGCUGUCAGCUGACGUGCUCGUGCGCCAAUAACGCCACGUGCAGCCACGAGGACGGCCGGUGCCAGUGCACGGCCGGGUGGCACGGUAUCAGCUGCAGCGCCCCCUGCCCGGCCGGGAAGUACGGCCCCGGCUGCAACACCACCUGCCAGUGCGCGACCGGCGCCGCCUGCGACCCCGUUAAUGGAACAUGUACGUGCGCUGCUGGCUACAAGGGCGAACUGUGCGACCAGAGGUGUGACGAGUUUACCGCCGGUCUCGGCUGCAAGCUGCGCUGUCCAUGCGUCAAAGAGAACAGCGAGGGCUGCGACCCGGUCAACGGUCGCUGCAUCUGCAACCCCGGCUGGCGGGGCGUGCGCUGUGAGACUCAGUGUCAGGAAGGCCGCUACGGGCCAGAGUGUAAGGACGUGUGCCACUGCAAGAACAACUCGUCCUGUGACCCCAAGUCGGGCGCGUGCACGUGUGCUCCGGGCUUCCGCGGCACGGACUGCAACGAGCCCUGCCCGGACGGCCGGUUCGGCCUGGCCUGCCUGCAGACCUGCCCCGACUGCGCCCACGGUAACGGCACCUGUGACCACGUGACCGGCCAGUGCCCGUGCGCGCCCGGCUACGCUGGGGCCCUCUGCUCGGAGGCAUGUCCCAAGAACACGUACGGCCUCAUGUGUCGCAAGACGUGCGACUGCGCCGAGCACGGAGAGUGUAACGCCGUCACAGGAGAAUGUCUGUGCUACCCGGGGUGGACGGGCGAGCGUUGCAGCGAGCAUUGUCCAGCCAACACGUACGGCAUGAACUGCGCUCAGACGUGCGACUGUCUGAACGGCGCCACGUGCCGGCCGCUCGAUGGAGCCUGCGGGUGUCCGCUGGGCUGGACCGGGAAUCGCUGUGAGGAAAUCUGCCCCGAGGGCUAUUACGGCAACCAGUGUAUGAACUCCUGCAACUGCAAGUCCAACAACUUCAUGUGCCACCCGGCCGAGGGCUGCAUCUGCAGAUACGGACAUACCGGUGAGAACUGCGAUAUCCCGAUCCGGGCCAGCCUGACCGAGUCGGCGCGCGAGGGUCCCGGCUCGGCCGGCGUCACGGCCAUAGUGGUGUCGGUGCUGCUGCUGGUGGUGGUCGUGGUGGUGCUGGUGAUUGUCUACUACCGGCGCCGGCUCUACCGACUCAAGAAGGAGCUGCACCAGGUGGUGCAGUACUUCCCCGAGGCCAAGGAGCGCACAGACCCACACCACUUCGACAACCCUGUGUACGCGUACCCGGAGAAGGCGCGUCAGGACCCGCUGCCGCUGCCGCCCAACAUCCCCGUGCAGAAGAACGACCUGGGCGGCGCCACCAAUGUCAAACAGCUGGCUCUGGAUGAGGAGGAGGGUGGAGCUGUCGGCUAUGACUCGAGCCUACUGUCCAAGAAGCUGAAGGACGCAGACUGCGGCAACCCCAACAUCUACAACAGCAUCGAGGAUCUGAAGGCGGACAACAAGAACAACAUGGAGCACGUCUACGACGAAAUAAAGGGCAUCAAGGUUCUCAAAGAGGAAGACGGCGAGUACGACCGCCUGGACCACGCGCGGGCCACCAACGACCCCAAGCCCAACUACACCAAGAUGGACGGCACGCUGCGCAAGUCCAAGUCGAAGAUCACGGACAGUGACGAGGACAAUGAGUCGACCGGCGGCUCGUAGCCACCGGCGCGGGCCUCGCUCGGUCCGCUCACAGACUCAGCACUUGGCAUGUGGAGAGCAAUAGACAGGUGCACCCCAUGCCAUCCGGAAGGAGUGCGGGGUCGUCAAUAAGACUUGCCGGCAAGCGGUCGAAAGGUGGAUCCUUGAGUGUUGCUGGCGGACCGUUUUGUGCUCAAAGACCAUAAGAAGCAUCGUCGUUGAUGAACCUUUCGCACUGGUGAGGUUCUCGUGCUUUCUGAGCUUAGUGCAGUGACGUUCUGUGGACACAUUUUAGCGGCGGUAGGGCUCGGCUCUGCACAUAUUGCUGCACGAGACGGUGAUGAGCUGGGACAGAAAUGCGAGAAUAGUGCGUUGAACUCUUGGUGUCUAGUUAGUGGAACAUGGAACAUGGAACAUAUGCAGUUGUACGAUCGAUUGGAUGCGUCUCAAGAUAAGCGGAGUUCUCAAAUGAGUAAAUGAAUUCAUGUUUGGUUCAGCUGAUUUUUUUUCAGCCCGGUGACCGCUAUUUACUGGCUUUUCAAUGAGGGUCUCAAUAUUUACACGAGGCCUUUUUAUGCGUGGAACACUUUGUUGCUAUUUCCACUCUUUUUAUAUUUUCAUUGCAAUCUGCUGUUAUACAAAGCAGGUAGUUGACACGCGCUACCACCCGAGUACACAACCUGUCACAACCGCAAGUCAUAUUUUCGGUUGGUAUACCUACCUAUAACAGGGGAAGAAAUUCCCUUGUCCCCAUAUGCUGUAGUUCGUUGCGCAUCUGGAUAUGUUCGAUUGAACACUUGGCCGGUAUGUUCCCGCUGUCGCCGGGUGCUCUGUGCUGGCGCCGACGGAGACCAGGGCUCACCGACUAUGCCGCCUGCCCUCUGUGAUAUGUGUCGCCAUUGUUACCGUUUGUAUGCGUGUGUGUCUGUGUGCUGCCCGAGGGCAUCAGUGUGACAGGUCCAUAUCAUGUAGCCGGGCUCCGCGCCAUCGGAGCCGGCCCAUCACCAUCGCUAUGCAACUUAUAUAUGCGAACUGUGUGCUGGGUUUGUUGGGGGUUCUUUGGUUCUGGGGUUUGGGAAAGGUAGUGUGCAAAUGUGAGUGACUUGUGUCGAUAUCUGCGAGAGGUUCCUCGCUAAGAUGUCCAUUCUGACGUGGACUUUGCUGUGUCUUUGCGAUGCUGAUAUGUGGGGUCAUGUGAAUUGUGUAGAAUUGCUUGAGAUUGUGAACGAGGUGUCCUGGUGUCUGCUGUAUAUGAAUAUCCAUCGUAUAAAAUGUGUUUAAACUCCCUCGGAAACUUGCCAAUCGGUGUACUGCUAAAUUCCCCCCUCCCAUCGGCUUCCUGAAGUAAAACAGCUAAAUUUCGGCUGUCGCAAACCACAGUGGGCUAAGGUAUUCCCUGUCGAAGUCUUAUUUGCUACCAAAAAGGUGUAAUUUGUUUCCCUUCAAUCGUUUAAAAUUCUUAACAUGAUGCAAGUACCUAAACUAGAUGUCUACCAUGAAACAUCUAAAAUGUAAUAUGUAAAAUUAUCGUAGGCAUGAGCGUGAUUAUAACGCUGGGAGAAACCAGCCAGUCUCAGAUCUAGGGAUCGGGCAUCUUAAGCCUUUGUGUGUAGUCGUUACCAGGAAUUGAUUUUUUAAGUUUUUCUUGAAAAUUUAUUCGUGACUACAAGCGAUAUGCUUUUGAUUUGUUCCGUCAUAUACUAUUUGCAUUUUUUUUUUGCAAAAAUGCUUACCAACUAAGUCGUAAAAACAUGCUUCAUUGCGCAUUCGUUAUCUUCGUGUCCAAUUCGUAGCAAAUCAGCAGUCCCGCUACUCAUUUCAAAGUUACCUCCUGACUCGGAUGGACUCCAAAAUCCCAUUUAGUGUUGUAUGCCGGCUGUUAUUAGUCGUUAAGGUAAUGUACGAUUGUGAUUCACGUUGACUUAUUCAAUAGGGCAACACAGUAUGUUUACGAUAACUGUAAUCAACUUGCAUGUUGUUUGUUUAUCGAGUUUUCACCCGCCAUUCUUUUGUAUGAAAGAACGGAUAUGCAAUUUGUAUGCACAAAAACAGGGAUAGAUUGUGUAAUUUUGCAUUCCUGUUCACAACUAUAGAUAGUGUAUUAUUGUGUAAAUAUAUCUGUUUUGCAACAG
Molecule: unclassified non-coding RNA, 5215 nt
Filed under: Amphibalanus amphitrite
Lineage: Eukaryota; Metazoa; Arthropoda; Thecostraca; Balanomorpha; Balanidae
Description: protein draper-like, transcript variant X4
Source: RNAcentral